GGUGUAGUGCCGGAUAAAACGGAAUGCGUUGAUGAUGCAAAAAAUAAGAGAGUAUUUUCUUCUAUGCCU
This 69-nucleotide transfer RNA is filed under the name Angaria neglecta. RNAcentral describes it as "tRNA-Ile". Lineage: Eukaryota; Metazoa; Mollusca; Gastropoda; Trochida; Turbinidae. The record is from RNAcentral.